Molecule: non-coding RNA, 1333 nt
Organism: Heterocephalus glaber (naked mole-rat)
Lineage: Eukaryota; Metazoa; Chordata; Mammalia; Rodentia; Bathyergidae
Source: RefSeq, a predicted model, not a curated record
AAGGCCCUGGGUUCAAUCCCCAGCACAACAAAACAAAACAAAAACUUGUUACCACAUACAUAAAAUGGUAUCCAUAUAAAUUCGGUGUUUUAAGAGUGGCUAGAGUGCUAAGCUGAUGUUCUCUCUUUCUCUACUUAUCUAUUGGAUGAUAUUCUUACACUAGGAGUUUAUAAAACAUAGUUAUGUAUUACUUUUGUGAAAAAGUUAAUAGAAUGCAUCACAUAAAACUAUGUUGCUGUGCAGAACUAUGACUGUGCCGACUCUGGGGGACCCUCGAUCCUGUCCCUUUACCUGGCACACAACGGUCAGGCGAGAGAAAGAGGAGGCGACCUAGCCUCGGGCCGUGACCGCAGGUGCGGGAGUCGCAGCCACGGGAGGAAGCGAGGGUGAACACUACAGUGCACACCAGCCCCCCGCGCGUUUGCGCUGGGUCUGGAGUAUCUGUGCACGCAGGGUGAGCUCUCUGGGGACGGCCCCGUCUCACCACGGAAGCUUUACCCGCGCCGCGUGCCCCGUGUGCGCAGCGGGAGAAACCGUGCCGCCGCUUCCGGGGCGGUGACAUCUGCGGCCCCUGCAAGGGAGGCAGGUGUGGAUUUCCCGUGGGAGGCACCGGUCAGCGCUCAGCGGGCCUCGACGCUGGACAUUCCGGACUGGGGAUUUUCGGACUAGGACGCUCAGCCUGCAGUAGCUUGGCCUUCGAGGGGCUCCUUUCUUGAGGAUCGACGUCUCCUCAUGGGUAAUUGAUCACCACAGACCCAGGGACCCUCGAUUCACCGUCGAGGGAGGGUAGUCGUCAUGAAUAAUCAGAAAGCUGUCGCUGUGCUCCUGCAAGAGUGCGAGCGAGCGCUGGAUCAGCUCUUGGUGACCGCGCCAGAUGUGUCUGAGGAGGACAUGAGGGAGGACGAGCGAUGCCGCGCUUUACUCUCUAGAGAGGUAAGGACCCUGAUCCAGGAGGCAAAGGAAAUGAAGUGGCCCUUCGUGCCUGAAAAGUGGCAGUACAAACAAGCCCUGCGUCCAGAGGACAAAACAAACCUGCAGGACAUGAUUGGCGCCGAGCUGCUGCAGCUGCUGGGAAGCUCUCGAAAGCAGAGUAUAUCCUGAGCAGCCUCAUCAGCAACAGCGGAGCGACAGGUACCUGGCGCUACCAAAAGGAAAGUGACAAGGUGCUGGUGCAGUCCGUCUGCAUACAGAUUAGAGGCCAAAUUCUGCAAAAGCUUGGGCCUCUCCGCAUCACUGGGAAUACUGGCAGACAUCUUUGUUUCCAUGAGCAAGAACGACUAUGAAAAAUUUAAAAGCCACCCACAGAUCAGCCUGGUAACUGUCACUUGUCUAA